GAUGAAGAACGUAGCGAAAUGCGAUAAGUAAUGUGAAUUGCAGAGUUCAGUGAAUCAUCGAAUCUUUGAACGCACAUUGCGCCCGCCAGUAUUCUGGCGGGCAUGCCUGUUCGAGCGUCAUUAUCACCCCUCAAGCCCCCUUGGCUUGGUGUUGGACGGUUUUGGUGGGGACGUGCAGCCUCUCACCCCUCCUAAAGACAAUGACGGCGGCGUCGUUGGGACCCCCGGUACACUGAGCUUCUUAACUGAGCACGUACUGGACGCGGGUACGCGACGCACGGUCUGCCUCCCCUUUAAGGGAGAACUUUUUCUUAAGGUUGACCUCGGAUCAGGUAGGAAUACCCGCUGAACUUAAGCAUAUCAAUAAGCGGAGGA
This 375-nucleotide unclassified non-coding RNA is filed under the name soil metagenome. RNAcentral's name for it is "partial contains 5.8S ribosomal RNA, internal transcribed spacer 2, and large subunit ribosomal RNA". The stretch from base 1 to 120 matches the Rfam family "5.8S ribosomal RNA", at positions 35 to 154 of the family's 154-position model. The record is from RNAcentral.